AAUGAACGUUGGCGGCGUGGAUUAGGCAUGCAAGUCGAGCGAGAACCCAGCAAUGGGGGACAGCGGCGAAAGGGACAGUAAUGUGUAGAUUAUCUGCCCUCGGGUCCGGGAUAGCUGCGGGAAACUGCAGGUAAUACCGGAUAACAUCUCCGGAUCAAAGGUGUGAUUCCGCCCGAGGAUGAGUCUGCAUCCUAUUAGCUUGUUGGUGGGGUAAUGGCCUACCAAGGCUUUGAUGGGUAGCGGGUGUGAGAGCACGACCCGCGUCAUUGGGACUGAGACACUGCCCAGACACCUACGGGUGGCUGCAGUCGAGAAUCUUCGGCAAUGGGCGCAAGCCUGACCGAGCGACGCCGCGUGUGGGAUGAAGGCCUUCGGUUGUAACCAACUAGUCGAGAGGGAGUGAAAUGCAGUGGGUUCGUCCACUUCGUUUGACAUAGCCUCAGAGGAGGACGGGCGUAAGUCGUGCCAGCAGCCGCGGUAAU
RNAcentral lists this ribosomal RNA (482 nucleotides) under uncultured bacterium. Its description in RNAcentral is "bacterial SSU rRNA". It matches the Rfam family "Bacterial small subunit ribosomal RNA", at positions 29 to 524 of the family's 1533-position model. The record is from RNAcentral.